Molecule: ribosomal RNA, 3010 nt
Filed under: Salmonella enterica
Lineage: Bacteria; Pseudomonadati; Pseudomonadota; Gammaproteobacteria; Enterobacterales; Enterobacteriaceae
Description: bacterial LSU rRNA
Rfam family: Bacterial large subunit ribosomal RNA
Source: RNAcentral
GGGUUGUGAGGUUAAGCGACUAAGCGUACACGGUGGAUGCCCUGGCAGUCAGAGGCGAUGAAGGGCGUGCUAAUCUGCGAUAAGCGCCGGUAAGGUGAUAUGAACCGUUAUAACCGGCGAUACCCGAAUGGGGAAACCCAGUGUGACUCGUCACACUAUCAUUAACUGAAUCCAUAGGUUAAUGAGGCGAACCGGGGGAACUGAAACAUCUAAGUACCCCGAGGAAAAGAAAUCAACCGAGAUUCCCCCAGUAGCGGCGAGCGAACGGGGAGGAGCCCAGAGCCUGAAUCAGCAUGUGUGUUAGUGGAAGCGUCUGGAAAGGCGCGCGAUACAGGGUGACAGCCCCGUACACAAAAGCGCAUGUGUUGUGAGCUCGAUGAGUAGGGCGGGACACGUGGUAUCCUGUCUGAAUAUGGGGGGACCAUCCUCCAAGGCUAAAUACUCCUGACUGACCGAUAGUGAACCAGUACCGUGAGGGAAAGGCGAAAAGAACCCCGGCGAGGGGAGUGAAAAAGAACCUGAAACCGUGUACGUACAAGCAGUGGGAGCACAGGUUUACCUGUGUGACUGCGUACCUUUUGUAUAAUGGGUCAGCGACUUAUAUUCUGUAGCAAGGUUAACCGUAUAGGGGAGCCGUAGGGAAACCGAGUCUUAACCGGGCGUUAAGUUGCAGGGUAUAGACCCGAAACCCGGUGAUCUAGCCAUGGGCAGGUUGAAGGUUGGGUAACACUAACUGGAGGACCGAACCGACUAAUGUUGAAAAAUUAGCGGAUGACCUGUGGCUGGGGGUGAAAGGCCAAUCAAACCGGGAGAUAGCUGGUUCUCCCCGAAAGCUAUUUAGGUAGCGCCUCGUGAAUUCAUCUUCGGGGGUAGAGCACUGUUUCGGCUAGGGGGCCAUCCCGGCUUACCAACCCGAUGCAAACUGCGAAUACCGGAGAAUGUUAUCACGGGAGACACACGGCGGGUGCUAACGUCCGUCGUGAAGAGGGAAACAACCCAGACCGCCAGCUAAGGUCCCAAAGUCAUGGUUAAGUGGGAAACGAUGUGGGAAGGCCCAGACAGCCAGGAUGUUGGCUUAGAAGCAGCCAUCAUUUAAAGAAAGCGUAAUAGCUCACUGGUCGAGUCGGCCUGCGCGGAAGAUGUAACGGGGCUAAACCAUGCACCGAAGCUGCGGCAGCGAACGUAUCACUUAAAGCGAUUCAGCGGGUUACGAUUGACGGAGCGAAGCGACGUCAAAGCGUAUACAAAGUCGAGUCGGUUUAAGGAUACGUUCGUUGGGUAGGGGAGCGUUCUGUAAGCCUGUGAAGGUGGCCUGUGAGGGUUGCUGGAGGUAUCAGAAGUGCGAAUGCUGACAUAAGUAACGAUAAAGCGGGUGAAAAGCCCGCUCGCCGGAAGACCAAGGGUUCCUGUCCAACGUUAAUCGGGGCAGGGUGAGUCGACCCCUAAGGCGAGGCCGAAAGGCGUAGUCGAUGGGAAACGGGUUAAUAUUCCCGUACUUGGUGUUACUGCGAAGGGGGGACGGAGAAGGCUAUGUUGGCCGGGCGACGGUUGUCCCGGUUUAAGCGUGUAGGUGUGUGUUCCAGGUAAAUCCGGUUCACUUUAACACUGAGGCGUGAUGACGAGGCACUACGGUGCUGAAGCAACAAAUGCCCUGCUUCCAGGAAAAGCCUCUAAGCAUCAGGUAACAUCAAAUCGUACCCCAAACCGACACAGGUGGUCAGGUAGAGAAUACCAAGGCGCUUGAGAGAACUCGGGUGAAGGAACUAGGCAAAAUGGUGCCGUAACUUCGGGAGAAGGCACGCUGACACGUAGGUGAAGUGAUUUACUCAUGGAGCUGAAGUCAGUCGAAGAUACCAGCUGGCUGCAACUGUUUAUUAAAAACACAGCACUGUGCAAACACGAAAGUGGACGUAUACGGUGUGACGCCUGCCCGGUGCCGGAAGGUUAAUUGAUGGGGUCAGCGCAAGCGAAGCUCCUGAUCGAAGCCCCGGUAAACGGCGGCCGUAACUAUAACGGUCCUAAGGUAGCGAAAUUCCUUGUCGGGUAAGUUCCGACCUGCACGAAUGGCGUAAUGAUGGCGAGGCUGUCUCCACCCGAGACUCAGUGAAAUUGAACUCGCUGUGAAGAUGCAGUGUACCCGCGGCAAGACGGAAAGACCCCGUGAACCUUUACUAUAGCUUGACACUGAACAUUGAGCCUUGAUGUGUAGGAUAGGUGGGAGGCUUUGAAGUGUGGACGCCAGUCUGCAUGGAGCCGACCUUGAAAUACCACCCUUUAAUGUUUGAUGUUCUAACGUGGACCCGUUACCCGGGUUGCGGACAGUGUCUGGUGGGUAGUUUGACUGGGGCGGUCUCCUCCUAAAGAGUAACGGAGGAGCACGAAGGUUGGCUAAUCCUGGUCGGACAUCAGGAGGUUAGUGCAAUGGCAUAAGCCAGCUUGACUGCGAGCGUGACGGCGCGAGCAGGUGCGAAAGCAGGUCAUAGUGAUCCGGUGGUUCUGAAUGGAAGGGCCAUCGCUCAACGGAUAAAAGGUACUCCGGGGAUAACAGGCUGAUACCGCCCAAGAGUUCAUAUCGACGGCGGUGUUUGGCACCUCGAUGUCGGCUCAUCACAUCCUGGGGCUGAAGUAGGUCCCAAGGGUAUGGCUGUUCGCCAUUUAAAGUGGUACGCGAGCUGGGUUUAGAACGUCGUGAGACAGUUCGGUCCCUAUCUGCCGUGGGCGCUGGAGAACUGAGGGGGGCUGCUCCUAGUACGAGAGGACCGGAGUGGACGCAUCACUGGUGUUCGGGUUGUCAUGCCAAUGGCACUGCCCGGUAGCUAAAUGCGGAAGAGAUAAGUGCUGAAAGCAUCUAAGCACGAAACUUGCCCCGAGAUGAGUUCUCCCUGAGACUUAAAGUCUCCUGAAGGAACGUUGAAGACGACGACGUUGAUAGGCCGGGUGUGUAAGCGCAGCGAUGCGUUGAGCUAACCGGUACUAAUGAACCGUGAGGCUUAACCUUACAACGCCGAAG